UUCGCAAUGCCCGAAAGGGUGACGAAGCGACGCCGCGUGUGGGAAGAAGGCCUUCGGGUUGUAAACCACUGUCGGGAGUUAAGAAAUGCAAGGAUAUGAAUAGUGUCUUUGCUUGACUAAGGCUCCGGAGGAAGCCACGGCUAACUCUGUGCCAGCAGCCGCGGUAAUACAGAGGCGGCAAGCGUUGUUCGGAAUUAUUGGGCGUAAAGAGCACGUAGGCGGCUAUGUAAGUCGGUUGUGAAAGCCUUCCGCUCAACGGAAGAACAGCAUCCGAUACUACAUGGCUUGAGUGCGGGAGGGGAGAGUGGAACUUCUGGUGGAGCGGUGAAAUGCGUAGAUAUCAGAAGGAACGCCGGCGGCGAAAGCGGCUCUCUGGCCCAUAACUGACGCUGAGUGUGCGAAAGCUAGGGGAGCAAACGGGAUUAGAUACCCCGGUAGUCCUAGCCGUACAC
RNAcentral lists this ribosomal RNA (452 nucleotides) under uncultured bacterium. Its description in RNAcentral is "bacterial SSU rRNA". It matches the Rfam family "Bacterial small subunit ribosomal RNA", at positions 365 to 807 of the family's 1533-position model. The record is from RNAcentral.